UACGUAGGGGUCGAGCGUUGUCCGGAUUUAUUGGGCGUAAAGGGUGGGCAGGUGGUCGGUGAUGUGCCGUGUGAGAGCGCCGAAGUAAUGUCGGCGAGGUCGGGGUAGACACAUCGACUUGAGGCAGUGAGGGGGCAGUGGAAUUCCCGGUGUAGUGGUGAAAUGCGUAGAUAUCGGGAGGAACACCAGUGGCGCAAGCGGCUGCCUGGCACUGACCUGACACUGAGCCACGACGGCGUGGGGAGCAAACGGG
RNAcentral lists this ribosomal RNA (253 nucleotides) under uncultured bacterium. Its description in RNAcentral is "partial 16S ribosomal RNA". It matches the Rfam family "Bacterial small subunit ribosomal RNA", at positions 524 to 776 of the family's 1533-position model. The record is from RNAcentral.